RNAcentral lists this ribosomal RNA (440 nucleotides) under uncultured bacterium. RNAcentral's name for it is "partial 16S ribosomal RNA". It matches the Rfam family "Bacterial small subunit ribosomal RNA", at positions 338 to 795 of the family's 1533-position model. The record is from RNAcentral.
CCUACGGGUGGCAGCAGUAGGGAAUAUUGCUCAAUGGGGGAAACCCUGAAGCAGCAACGCCGCGUGGAGGAUGAAGGUUUUCGGAUUGUAAACUCCUGUUGUUAGAGAAGAAAAUGACGGUAUCUAACGAAUAAGCACCGGCUAACUCCGUGCCAGCAGCCGCGGUAAUACGGAGGGUGCAAGCGUUACUCGGAAUCACUGGGCGUAAAGAGCGCGUAGGCGGGAUAGCAAGUCAGAUGUGAAAUCCUAUGGCUUAACCAUAGAACUGCAUUUGAAACUGUUAUUCUAGAGUAUGGGAGAGGGAGGUGGAAUUCUUGGUGUAGGGGUGAAAUGCGUAGAGAUCAAGAGGAAUACUGAUGGCGAAGGCGACCUGCUAGAACAUAACUGACGCUGAUGCGCGAAAGCGUGGGGAGCAAACAGGAUUAGAUACCCGAGUAGUC